Molecule: ribosomal RNA, 224 nt
Filed under: uncultured bacterium
Lineage: Bacteria
Description: partial 16S ribosomal RNA
Rfam family: Bacterial small subunit ribosomal RNA
Source: RNAcentral
GAUCCUGCUCAGGAUGAACGCUAGCUACAGGCUUAACACAUGCAAGUCGAGGGGCAGCAUGGUCUUAGCUUGCUAAGACUGAUGGCGACCGGCGCACGGGUGAGUAACACGUAUCCAACCUGCCGUCUACUCUUGGACAGCCUUCUGAAAGGAAGAUUAAUACAAGAUGGCAUCAUGAGUCCGCAUGUUCACAUGAUUAAAGGUAAUUCCGGUAGACGAUGGGG